AGUGUGUCUAGGUGUGGGAGUGUGUCUAGGUGUGGGAGUGUGUCUAGGUGUGGGAGUGUGUCUAGGUGUGGGAGUGUGUCUAGGUAUGGGAGUGUGUCUAGGUGUGGGAGUGUGUCUAGGUGUGGGAGUGUGUCUAGGUAUGGGAGUGUGUCUAGGUAUGGGAGUGUGUCUAGGUAUGGGAGUGUGUCUAGGUAUGGGAGUGUGUGGGAGUGUGUAUGGGUGUGUCUAGGUGUGGGAGUGUGUCUAGGUGUGGGAGUGUGUCUAGGUAUGGGAGUGUGUCUAGGUAUGGGAGUGUGUCUAGGUAUGGGAGUGUGUCUAGGUAUG
Molecule: long non-coding RNA, 324 nt
Organism: Oncorhynchus keta (chum salmon)
Lineage: Eukaryota; Metazoa; Chordata; Actinopteri; Salmoniformes; Salmonidae
Exons: 4
Source: RefSeq, a predicted model, not a curated record